UACGGGGGGAGCAAGCGUUGUUCGGAUUUACUGGGCGUAAAGGGCGCGUAGGCGGUCCGCACAAUUCAGUUGUGAAAUCUCCGGGCUUAACUCGGAAAGGUCAACUGAUACUGUGCGACUAGAGUGCAGAAGGGGCAACUGGAAUUCUCGGUGUAGCGGUGAAAUGCGUAGAUAUCGAGAGGAACACCUGCGGCGAAGGCGGGCUGCUGGGCUGACACUGACGCUGAUGCGCGAAAGCCAGGGGAGCGAACGGG
This 254-nucleotide ribosomal RNA is filed under the name uncultured bacterium. RNAcentral's name for it is "partial 16S ribosomal RNA". It matches the Rfam family "Bacterial small subunit ribosomal RNA", at positions 524 to 776 of the family's 1533-position model. The record is from RNAcentral.